RNAcentral lists this transfer RNA (73 nucleotides) under Sacalia quadriocellata (four-eyed turtle). RNAcentral describes it as "tRNA-Leu". The record is from RNAcentral. Lineage: Eukaryota; Metazoa; Chordata; Testudines; Geoemydidae.
ACUUUUUAAAGGAUAGAAGCAAUCCGCUGGUUUUAGGGGCCAUUAACCCUUGGUGCAACUCCAAGUAAAAGUA